Molecule: ribosomal RNA, 119 nt
Filed under: Pteropus alecto (black flying fox)
Lineage: Eukaryota; Metazoa; Chordata; Mammalia; Chiroptera; Pteropodidae
Source: RNAcentral
GUCUAUGGCCAUGCCACCCUGAACAAGCCCGAUCCCGUCUGAUCUCGGAAGCUAAGCAGGGUCAGGCCUGGUUAGUACUUGGAUGGGAGAUCACCUAGGAAGAGCAGGUGCUGUAGGCA